GCGUAGAUGCCCGAGUCGGUCUAAGGGGCCAGACUUAAGAUCUGGUGUACACAUGUACUCCAGGGUUCGAAUCCCUGUCUACGCA
Molecule: non-coding RNA, 85 nt
Organism: Cryptosporidium ubiquitum
Lineage: Eukaryota; Apicomplexa; Conoidasida; Eucoccidiorida; Cryptosporidiidae
Source: Rfam